Macaca mulatta (Rhesus monkey) is the source of this 5664-nucleotide non-coding RNA. Lineage: Eukaryota; Metazoa; Chordata; Mammalia; Primates; Cercopithecidae. The record is from RefSeq and is a predicted model, not a curated record.
GGAGUUUGGGGCGUGUGUGUAGGAGUGGCUUCUUGAAUUUCGGUGUCCCCGGCUUGACGUCACUUUGCGCAUGCUCAGUUGAUUUGGUUCGUCCCCAGGCGCGGGAAAAUCUGUGAUGAAGAACCCGGAAACAACACGGACUGCUCCAUCUUGUUCACCUUCCUCCAUCUUGUCCCUUCUCCCUCACCCAAACAGCCAGUACCACUUUCAUUGGUGCUGAGAAAUGGAGCUGAACCCUACUUCCAUUUUUUUCUGCUGGAGAUGGAGGCCACGGUCCUGCUGUAAUUUUCCAAGCUGCAGUCGUCGGCCUCUCUAGGGCCCUUGAACUGAACACUUAUUCUUUUAAAAAUCAUCAACACGGGAUCUGUUGCCAAGAAGAGAAGCCAAUUCUUGUCUCCAUGCUCUAGGAAGUGUUUUCUUUGUAGUACUGUUGGCAUGGAGGUGAAGAGCCUGGAACUCGAUACUGAAAUCUCAGCAAGAGAGCUGCCAUUGGGUACAGUUUGUUUUGGAAUUAAAGCAAAUAUAUCCAGAAAUUGUACUCAGGAUAUUCAAAUAACAGUGACGGAGGCAGUGAAGGAACUUCAGUAUAGGAGAUGGCAUCUCAUUUCUUCACUGUUCUCACAAAGGUGACCAGCUGUGUGACAAAUCCUUGGAAUCUGGAGCUGACCCCUGAGGGAAUAGUACCAGGAAAUUAUGUUUUGGCUUCACUUCUGAAUCAACAAUGAUGGUCGCCAUCUGCAGAGGAUGAGGGAGAAGGAACAGUUUAGCAUGAGUAUCAGCAUUUCUGAGAGUUCAGUUUCUUUGAAAACCACAGAAGGGAAAAUGCAGUGGAGAACUUGUGAACAACUGGGUCAGGAAAAACUGCGGCUGCUUUUCAGGGCUCUGAUCUAGGAACCCCAGAUGCAAAGACAUGCUGGCGUCCUCUUGCUCAGCCAUUCACCAGGAAACAGGGCUGCUGCUCAGUGAAUACUGCAGAACUAUAGACCAGAGACUCAGAGCCGGAAAGGAGAAGUAAGCAAAACAUUUGCGCGAGCCUGCUCCGGAGAGGAUGAGGGACUCGAGUUUUGGAAAGAAUCGGGGGCUAGGAUCCGGCACACCAGGCUUUCAGCGUGGACUCCUACACUUAACAAUUUUGAAACGUUAAGAGACACAGCAAGACACCCCCACUUCCUCUUAGGAAGGAAAUAAGCUUGCCUAUUGCAGGUUCAGCUGCAACAUCAGCACCUAAAGCAGCAAGUGCAGAUGUACAAAAUGAGCCUCUGAAGGACCCACAGGACUUGUGAGACUGCAGUGCAGCUUACAUUCAUUUCCAUAUCUGGAGAGAAAAAAGGUUUCCAUUAGGCACCCAGUGUCUACAAUGGACAUGAAGAAGAGUCUCACAGGCAUGCAUUGCUACCAUCCCUCUAGAGAAGAGACGCACAUUGGCCGAGGGACUCCUGAGCACCUGACUUCCUUGUGGCUAUAUACCAGCUAGGAAGAGGACCCUCAUCAGGAUAUGAUUAAGGUUGCCGAAGACCUUGAUCUUGGACUUCUCAUCCUCCAGAACUGUGAGAAAUAUAUUUCUGUUUUCUAAGCCCACCAUACAUGAUAUUUUGUUAUGAUACACCAAGGUGAUUAAGACAAGGUGGUUAUGAAUACACAUGCCAUUAUACUGGGAACAGCUUGUACUGUGGAUGAGCAAAUUGCAAUUUAAUCUUAGACUAGGUGCAUUGCUCUCUGUGCCUCAGUGUUCUCUUCUGUACAAUGGGUAUAAUAACAAAACUCACAUCAAAGGAUUGUAGUGAGGAUGAAGUAAAAUAGUAUGGGUAAAUUUGCUUAGAUUGCUUAGAACAAUGGCUGGUACUUAGUUAGCAUGCCAUAACUAUCAGUUAUCAUUGUUAUGACCUAUAGAUAUUCCUACAGAAAGCUAGAAUACAAUCAUUUAAUGCAAGAAAAGCCAUUUAAGGAUGGCAAUGCUUUUAUUUUUUCUUCCUUGACUAUUCAACAGAUCUCUAUUGACACACACUACAUGCUGUGCACUGUUUUAACUGCUGGAUACGGAGCAGAGAAAAGCCCAACAAAGCCAUGUCCCAUGGGCAGAGGCUUAUACUUUAGUGGAGCAACAAGCAAUAUGAAAACCUAAGUACAAUGAGAAAAAAGGGGUAAAAAGUGUCAGCUGGAGGGUCCCAUUCUUUCUGGUCCUGGAAGGACAGGUCUGGUGAGCCGGGAGCCCCUGGGAAAGGCAGCUGCUCCACAGGGGAGGCGGGCACACUGCUCCAAGGAUACUGAUGAAUUCUAAAGUAUUAAAAGUGAGUCAGAAAGAAAGGGGAACAAGACAAACAAAAGCCCCAAACAGUCAUGGACUUGGUAUGUGUUUCUGUCCCAGUGAGGGCCUGACUGAGUAGAUAAAGCUCCAUAAAACGGGGAAGGACCUUUGCUCUUUUCCUCUCUGAAUCCCCACUACCUAAAAGUGUAUGUGCAACACAGUGGCUGCUCAAUUAAAAUUUGUUGCCUGAAUGAAUGGAAGAUGGAGCUUUGAAAGUUUCUAAAGAAUUUGGAAUUUUUCCUUAGAGCAAUUAGUGCCACUACAAUCUUUUGAAUAGUAGAGGGACAGAACAUACAGGGUUUUAAUUAGACUAACCCCAAGAGGUGUGAAGAAUGGAUUUACCAGGGGCAGAGAGACCAAGGGUAUGGAAGCUGUUACUGUUAUUCUUUUGCAGGAAGAUAGGACUAGGAUUGGGGUGGAGGCAGGAGAAAUACGGGGAACGGGUGGGCAGAAGGCACGUUGUGAAAGGGUACAUACCUGUGGUCUGGUUGCACCAGGCUGACCAGGAAAGCCAAGUUUAAAGUGGCAGCAAAGCUGAAGACAGGCCAAGUCAACACAUAGGCUGAGGGAGAGGCCAUGGAGGUGUUCUGGUGUAAGGCGGGAGGCAGAUCCCUACCACUGAUAACACCGCAUCCCUUGGUUGUUCUGUUGGAGGUGAUGAGUUGGGUUGAUGACGGGUACCUGGCAGGUGCUCAGCUGGUGCACACCAGUGAGGCUGUGCUGAUGGCUUAAGGGGAGCUCGUGCCUUUUGCUGUGGUCACUGCCCUGGCUGGGGAUGCUCCUGCCCUUGCAAGGAGUACAAAGUUUUGAUGCUAUCCCUGACUGUGCUGACGUCUUCACUUUCCGUCAACCACUUGCUCAAGGUACACAUAUCACUGUCUCCAAUCUGACAGGUGUUAAUUAUGAUUUGUGCUGAGAAGAAAGCAACAGAAUAUGCCUCUACUGAUAUGUACCAAAUAUAUCUGUCUUUCUGGGUACUGACAUGCACUGGAUAAGAAAAAGGCUCUCAGGUUGGGGGUGGUUGGAAAGUAAAAGGAUAAAGAAUAGGCAUCUUGAAGAUACACUACCUUGAAGUGUAUCACUUCUUGAAGAUACACUAAAGCCAUUUGGAGACAGAAUGGCUGGAAAGAACCUAAAGAAGAAAACAACACACAAAAGGGAGAGAGUUAAUAUUUGUUUUAUUGGGAGAAGUUUCAGAGUCUGGCUACAAGAGAGAAUGCAAACAAAUGUGAGAGGGUGUUUAAUCUGCCCAUAUCAUCAGACCCACAGGAUCAUUAGUAGUUACAAAUGCUAAUGAUACAAAUCCACCUAAGAAAACCAUGUUUUUAAAAAUAGACAGUAGUGUAGUGCCUGGUGUGUACAUAUAUUUUGCAUCAUCUUGAGAACAUAUGAAAAUUUUCUACUGAAUAAUCCCAAGUGGGCAGACAAGGUCAUGCAUUAAUUUAUUAUUUCAACAAAUAUUUGGUACCUCCUCUGAGUGAGGUGAUAUGCCAGGCCCUGGGAAGACAUUACAGGCAAAACACAGUUUCUGCCUCAUCGAACCUAUAGUUGAGUGGGGCAGAAGUCACAGCCCAAGAGGAUGAUGUUUCUUUGAAGUAUGAAUUUGCUUUUAUAAAUUCACAUAAAUACAAAGUAUAUCUGUGUUUGCUCUAAAAUGCAUUGCUUUAAAUUAAUGUAUACUCGGUGCAACUCUCCAUUCAAAAACUCAUGUUAUACCAGAAGAAACGGCAAUAUAUUUUCUAUGAGCUAAUUUAAAUGGUAUUUGGAGCCCCUUCCUGCAUAGCUGACUGAUAUAGUCUGACUCUGUGUCCCCACCCAAAUCUCAUCUUGAAUUGUAAUCCAAAUUGUAAUCCCCAUGUGUUGGGGGAGGGACCUUGUGAGAGGUGAUUAGACGGUGGGGGCAGUCCCCCCAUGCUGUUCUUGUGAUAGUGAGUGUGUUCUCAUGAGAUCUGAUGGUUUUAUAAGAGGGUUUCCCUUUUUCGCUCGGCCCUUCUCAUUCCUGCCACCAUGUGAAGAAGAACGUGUUUGCUUCCCUUUCUGCCAUGAUUGUAAGUUUCUUGAGGUCUCCCUAGCCAUGCUGAACUACGAAUCAAUUAAAUCUCUUUCCUUUGUAAAUUACCUAGUCUCAGUAAAUUCUUUACAGCAGUAUUAGAACAAACUAAUACCCUCGCAGGACAAUUUGACCUCAGUAUAUCUUGACUUUCCCCUUCCCUCUUCCAAGACCUGUAUUCAGCGGGCCUAAGGAAGGUCAAGACCUUGGAAGUGGGAAGCCCUGUUUAACUGUUUCUUCCAAGACAGUUCUCUCCAGCUCACUGUGCCCACAGGAUAGGCACUGCUGACUCUGGGGCUCCCCUACUGUACUUGGUGCAUGAGGGUCUUCUCCAGGCUGCUCAUGGUUCCUCCAACUGUUACUAUCCCCAAUCUGGGCUCUUGCCAGCCCCAAAGAUCUGCCUCUUGACAAGUAUCCAUUGCUCCAAGAUCCGGAGAACUCCAUUCUUACCAGCCUGCCUCCAGCCAUCCUUGACCAUCUCUUUCUCGUCUUGAGAAAAUCUUUCGCUCUUCAUGAUUUUUGCAAGGAUAUUUUGCCUGCAACGAACGCUGUGAGGUAAUUUUAGAAACACAAUACUAAGCUUUUUGCUGGGACAGGACUUUAUGGAGCCCUUGAGGAAAUAGGCUCAGCCCAUGCUACUGGCUUCAACAGAGAGAAGAAAAGGGAUCUAAUAUGCAGGGAAAGAAAAUACAAGUGAAUAUCUUAUCUAAAAAAAAUUCCCAGCAUAAAUGUUUUAUUUUCCUCAAAUCAUCUAGGAUACUAUUAUGUUUAACUUUUGGCCUUAAUCCUUCAGAUGUCACAAUAAUUAAAUUUCUCUUACUUAACAAAUAUUUUCUGAGCACCUCUUAUGUGCCAGGGACAUUGUGAAUACAGUGGGCAAAAAUUCCUGGUGCUCAGGGCUUGCGUCCUAGAGCUGAGCUAAGGGACUGAAGGCAAGAAGGCUCUCAAGGCAUCCCCACUUCUAAUGUCAUUAUCCGGUUGCUCAUGGAACUUCAAAGGUUUUAUGAGGUUGAGCAGAAACCAAACAUGGUCCACUUUACUGGCUGAUUUUUCAGUCCAUUAAAUGAGAUUUUUAAGUAGUAUAAUAAUUGCUUGGUCACCCGACAUUAGUCAUAAAAGUACAUUUGAAGAGGGGUCAGACCACAGACCACUUUUUAAAAGACCCUCCUUUACAAAAUUUUUUUUAUUAGAAGACUUUUACUGCGAAAUCAUAGGGAAAUAUUUCUUCGGUCCAAGAGAAUUGUCUUUCUGCUCUUUCUUCCCCCCAGCCUAGAGGCCACCUACUUCAGAUUCCCUUCGCAGUGUUUGU